CCCAAAAUGUACAGGCAAAUUAAUCUGGGUUUCUGACAACGCCAGCCCAGUCUGCCUGCAAAAUAGCUGUUAAGCAAUCAAUCAGAUUAGUUUGAAGACCCAAACCCAGCUCCAAGCUCAACAUUUGGGCUAAGCAAUCAGUCAAUCAGAUUUUGGUAGAUGAGGAUCAAAGAUUGCUUGCUAGAAGAAGACUACUCGUCGUGGCUCACUAGUGCUCCGGCGAAUGAGACUAAUUCUCCUUUGAGAUUCAUUUUUUUGUGAUGAAGAUUCAAGUGGGGUAAGGAUGACUCAAAGUUCCUUUCUUUUGGUAUAUAUGUGGUAAGCUUUGAUUAAUUUUGUUUCCUUAAGGUUUUGGUUUUAUGUAUUUGAGGACAAAUGGAAACAAAAUAACAGCUUUCUUCUGGGUGAUGGGAAGAAAAGGCAACCACCAGUGCUUUUGGUGAUAAUAAUUGUAAGUUAGCUGGACUGAUAUCAAGUGAUGUGUAUUUUAGAGCAACUUAUGUAUAAUGUACCGUUCUGGCUUUGCUCCAAUAUCAAAUCAUGCCAAAUUGUUGAACUCA
Molecule: long non-coding RNA, 560 nt
Organism: Prunus dulcis (almond)
Lineage: Eukaryota; Viridiplantae; Streptophyta; Magnoliopsida; Rosales; Rosaceae
Exons: 2
Source: RefSeq, a predicted model, not a curated record